UGUUUCCAAUUGAGACUCUUCUCUGCCUGGGGCCACGCCCACAGUGAAAGCUCAUUGGUCCAGAUGCUUCAACUUCCUACACAAACAAACUUCUGCUGUAUUGCUAAAUUGAAAGAAGCAGCUUGUUGUCAUGGUGUAUUCUAAAGUCUGGAUUCAGGACAGAGGGACAGUAUUUUAGUUGCUGAUAUGUGAUGCUGACGCUGUGCUGCAUGAAGAAGUUUUCAUUUAUAAAUGUUGGACUUGUGCCCAGACUGCUAUGGUAGAAUCUGGAAGAAAACACAAUAAGGAGAAGAACGUCAGACCAAUUUUGCAGGAACAUAUGUGGGGGGGAAAAGGCUUUAACAAAAGACAUUUUUCGAACAGUGAAAGAACUAGACCAUGGACAAUAGUUAUGAAUCUUUAAAAAUCUAUCCUGCGUCAACCACUAUUAUCCAUGCAGAGUCAAAAGAAUGCUUUAUCUGUCGAGAAGGAGACGAGAUGGGUUGUGACGCUCUGCUGCACUUCUGUGACUGCAAAAACCUGAUUGCUCACCAGAAGUGUGUGUUAACCUGGAUACAAAAGAGUUCUGAUAAUCAAGAUAGAGCAAGAUGCAAAGUAUGUACAGCUGAGUACCAGCUACAGAAAGGAUCAGUGUGGAGAAUCCUGUUUUGUCACUGGCAGAAUUGGCUCUUCUUCUGCUUGGUCCUGGCAGUAAUGACUAUCAUUCCCCUUGCAGUCUAUCGAAUGAUGGUAGCUUUUAAGGACCCUCCACCCAGUGCUGUAUUCCAUGCAGCAGCUGUGUGCUUUGGAGUUCUCGCAGAGACUCUUCUGAUAAAAUACGUAUUGUAUUACUGCAGCAGCAAAUACAACGAGGCCAAGAUGUCUUCAUUUUCCGUCAGAGCGAGAACUGUAGAACAAUGUGAUCGAGGCGUUGGUCUUCUGUGGCCAGCCGGUCAGAACCCAUCAACAGCUGUGAUGAGCAGAGCAGAGAUGGGGAAACAGGAGGCAGUCAAAGCCAAAGAAGGUUUCGGCCUGAAGCUGUGUGUAUGACUGAAGCAGAGCAAGGCCAGGACCCAAGGAAACCCCAGCAGCAAGGGAAAAAACAGAUUGACUCUCAGUGACUCAUUUAGCUCCUGGAUUGGACAAAUCUCUCCCCUGCUGGCAGUUUGGCUGAGCAUCAAUGAGACAGAUACCAGGAUGAAUAGCUUAAAAUAAUUAGGGGGCCAAUCUGCAAAACUGCUCUCAUCCAAUUCUUUACUGUGUGAUGAAAGACACAAAACAAAUUACAUUUAGAUAUUAAAUAUUAAGUCACUGGAUUUACCUCCAUUUGGUCCAAAGCAGGAAACUGGAUAAAAUUCAAUUUUAUAUCAUUGUGUUGAUGGCCUGUUUUUCAUCAAAUGAGUGAGUGUUUGUUGGCAGGUCAGACUCUUUGACACAUGGGGAAAAUAGGUGCUUAAUUUAAAUGAGAAUUAAUGCAAUCAUAAUUAACACAAAUGUGAACAGAAUUAAACACAGGCAAGAGUUCAGUUUAAUGCUUAGCAGUUUAAACUAUAUGUUUUAGGAAACAUCCUGCUUCAGCUGAAGACAAUGGCAGUGUUGCCACUGAAUUCAAUGGAAACCGGAGUAGGCCUUCUAGGUAGACAGGCAGGAUUCCCUGUACUUUAUAUUUAAUGCACAAAAACAGAAGCAACAAGCUCAUUUAGUAUCAGUAAAGGUCAGUUAAAAUUAUAGAGACAUCCUUUGGAGCAAAUCUUCUGCCUUGUAUUUGCAUAUUUAUGAACUAGAGAUUAUGACAGGCCAUUCCAUUUAUUAGAGCAGCGCUGCUAUAGUUAAUAGUCUGUCAGCGUUUCCAUUAUAAACCCCGUUUUUCAGUGUUUUAAUUUCUCAGCCAUUUGAAAUCACAUCAGGAAGCAACGUAGCCCUUGUGUUGUCAGGCCAGGUGCAUUUUUUUUUAAAUUAAUAAAAAUAUAUUUAAAUGAGCUCA
This is a long non-coding RNA of Chrysemys picta bellii (western painted turtle), 1963 nucleotides long. The record is from Ensembl. NCBI's taxonomy places the organism in Eukaryota, Metazoa, Chordata, Testudines, Emydidae.